This 588-nucleotide long non-coding RNA is filed under the name Gallus gallus (chicken). Lineage: Eukaryota; Metazoa; Chordata; Aves; Galliformes; Phasianidae. The record is from RNAcentral.
CCACUAUUCCCUCAAAAAGCUAUCAGACAGUAAGCAUAUUGUGAAGUAUACAUUUUUAUUUAACAUUCCUAAAAUAGGUUGUAUUUACAUAUUAUAUAAAUGUAUGAAGUCUUAAUAUAAAAUAGAAAACUGCAUUGACUGAGGAAAUCAUACUCCAUAUGGAGUUACUUAUUGAAGACCAUUUGUUUAUGAAAUUUUACAAUAAUUUAUAUAAAUUAUCUCUUCCAAAUUAGAUGAUUAUUUUUUCUUUUUACUAAUCCACACAAUUUUGAUGACUUUACAAACAGUGGUGUACAUUACAAACUUAAAAAACAGUUACAGCAUCUUCCGGCGCACAACUGGCUUUGGAAAAUUAGACAGUCUUUUUUUGUUCUUUUGUACAGUCUUCUCUGUUGCAUCUGUGGUUUCUUUCUGUUUGCUUUUCAUUUCCUCCACUGGACUUCCAAAAGGAGAAAUGAACUUUAUUUCCACUGGUGGAGGUGACCAAGAAACUUCUUUGCUUGUGGUUCUGCUUGCUUUCUUCACUUUUGAUCUUGCAGGUCUACCUCUCUUCAAUUUUUGUUUUCCCACAGAUUCUAUGGAUUUGAU